CUUUAUGCCAACCUACACAUUCAUUCUGAACUGUUUUCUGAUGUUCCCAACAACAGAGCACUUUAAAGCAAGCAUUCAGUUAAUAAAUCGUACCAGCUCAUUGCUAUUGUUUCCCUGAAAUCCGUCAUUAACAACUAGUAAUAAAGAAAUAAUGCAGCAGAGGCUGUAGCUACAGAGAUAUAUUCAACCUAUGCCAGGGGAGAAUAAAUCGUCUGAGGUACAUGAGGAUAUUUCCAAAUCAGAGGGCAAAGAAGUCACUGCAAAUUAUUACAAUGUAAUUUUACUGCAAGUAGUGCACGACAAGAUUAUAGGGACAGUUCUCUUUCACAUAAGAAGAUAUCUGUAUCUAGAGCAUAUCAAGUAAGCCAAAUGUCUAGAAACAUCAGUGAAAAUGUUUAAUUAGUUUUAGAUAAGUUGCAAGAACCACUUCAGUGACUACAUCCAGCGAGAGCCAAACAUUCACUGCCUCUUGUGUGAGUUGUCCUGGUUUGCUCUGAAAAAGUGGGAAUGCUCCCAAGACCUUUACUCUUUGAGAAGUCUGACUAGUUCAACGGACUUGAUAAGAUACAACAGUGAGAUCCUGAUGGAGAGCAGCCUUGUCUUUGUUAGAGUAUGGGAUGUAUUUUGUUUUAUCAAUCUUCUCUCCAAAAACGUGGCAGUAAAAGUAGUCCCUAUGACUAUUGUGCCUUGUUUGUCUUUACAUUUCUUUUUAGUAUUGUGGAGUUUCAUGCAUUUUGUGUUUUCAUUCAAGCUCCAGUUCCUGGAAUUCCAGCGUGACUUGAGCAAUUCAGAUUGUAUUGCAAGAAAAAGUUAGUUCUGGCAUUCCCUUGCAGAGAGUGAUUUGAAAACCUGACUCACAACCGUCCUGCAGUCUCAGAAACAAGGCGGCAGCUCCCGUCUAAAUCUACAGACAGCACUUCAUGUAUGAAUCAUUUCUUGGUGACUUGCAAAACUCUUCUGAGAUGAGAAUCAGGAACACUGCUUUAAGGAGGAAAUGGAGAUGUACAGUCAGUGUGCACAGAAGACAUGGCAAGUAGGCUCCAAAGACAGAGCAGACUUAAAAGACACCCUCCGCACUAGAAUUGCCCCGGGACUCUGCUGAAGAAAAGAAGCUCUUGAGCAACUUGCAGAAUCGCCUCUUCCAUUGUUUCUGAAGAAUUCUUUUCACUGCAUUCCUCGGGCUGUCAUGAAUUGCACAACCAGCUCUUCCAGCUCGAGCAGAGCUGAACCUGAGAUCUGUAUCUUCCGACAGAACAGUCAUUAACUUAGGUCGUUACUGUGCACACGUACAUGCGUGCUAAACGAUCCUUAAAGAUCCUUAGAGUUAAGAAAACUUGAAAGUCUUGAAAGUAAGAUGAAGUAGGAACACGCCAACCCACCUUGCCUGUUUACUAUGAGGCAGUCUUUAAUUCCAUACUAAUUUUAUGAUUUCAUUUCAUUUCAUUUCAUUUCAUUUCAUUUCAUUUCAUUUCAUCUCAUUUCAUUUCAUUUCUCUAAUGUAUUUUGAAUCCAGUCGUAAGAAUACAGUGAAAGCAUGAGCUAUAUGUAAUGUGAAAUAUUUGUUUUCACUAGCCCCCUUCAGCUGCUUAGUGGAGCAUGCUAAGGUCUGGAGCUUUUUGGGAUCAUUGCCAUUAAACUAAGUAGCAAUGACUUUUAAUUCAAUAAACCAGUUUUUUAUUCAGCAACUUUUAAACCUGCCAGGUUCUUGUGAAAAAUGCUGAAUGAGAGGUUCCAACAGUCGUUCCAAACAUGUAGGUCAAUUGGGGGAAAAAUUAAUUUUCUUGUUCUAAAAAUCAGGCUUGAAUGCAACAAUUUGUGUAUUUCUUGCAUGACAUGGUCUAGUUAGUUUGCCAGUUAUAUGAUGAGGGAUAAAGAAGGAGUGAAUAAUAGGAAAGUACAGCCAACUAAAUGUCCUCCACACAACUAGUAUGUAACAUUCCUUUGCUAAAAAAAGUUAGCAUUAUAUAGUUUAGGCAAAAUUCUUGGACUGUGUUAUUAGAUGUAAAAAGUAAAAAAAUAACCUUACAUG
Cygnus atratus (black swan) is the source of this 2029-nucleotide long non-coding RNA. RefSeq lists it as uncharacterized. The transcript has 4 exons. Lineage: Eukaryota; Metazoa; Chordata; Aves; Anseriformes; Anatidae. The record is from RefSeq and is a predicted model, not a curated record.